RNAcentral lists this small RNA (77 nucleotides) under Xanthomonas arboricola. Its description in RNAcentral is "sRNA sX9". It matches the Rfam family "Xanthomonas sRNA sX9". Lineage: Bacteria; Pseudomonadati; Pseudomonadota; Gammaproteobacteria; Lysobacterales; Lysobacteraceae. The record is from RNAcentral.
GUGUACCACGCGUACUCUCCGGUUCUUAGCGUGCCGUCCGCACACAUCUGACCGCCGCUCGCGACGCUGUGUUGGCC